UUACACAAGUAAACUCUUUUGUUGCACUUUUUGGCAACCGGCAUUGCCCAAUCGAGCGGGUAAAUAUAACCAAACCUUGGAGCGCUUAGUUCUCUCCGCAUCUCCGCCGUGUUGUGUUGCUGAAAUGUAGCAGCCGCGUGUGUGGUAACUUUCCCCGCC
This is a long non-coding RNA of Notothenia coriiceps (black rockcod), 159 nucleotides long. RefSeq lists it as uncharacterized. The transcript is spliced from 3 exons. The record is from RefSeq and is a predicted model, not a curated record. Lineage: Eukaryota; Metazoa; Chordata; Actinopteri; Perciformes; Nototheniidae.